Molecule: long non-coding RNA, 394 nt
Organism: Felis catus (domestic cat)
Lineage: Eukaryota; Metazoa; Chordata; Mammalia; Carnivora; Felidae
Exons: 2
Source: RefSeq, a predicted model, not a curated record
GGCUCCAUGCCUGGUGGCGGGCCCUCAGCCACCCGUCAGGGGGCAGGGGUUGAGGGUCGCUGAGGCAGGAACCUGGGGGGAAAGAUGCCAAGGGACUUGCCCAAGGUCGCCCGGCCCAUUCCUGAUGGAAUCUAGACUGGAGCCUGGGACCUGCUGAGUAACUGGGAAACAGGAGAACCCCCAGAUCCAAGCGUUAUGUUUCAGGCCUCUGCCCAGCCUCUUCCAGAAGGAUCACCGGGAUCACCCUGGGAUGGGUUAAGGCAGCCCACAAGUCCAGCUGCCAGGUGUGCAAACCAGGAAGAGAAUUCUCCCUAGGAACCUGAUUGGCUUGCACCUUGGUUUUGGACUUCUCAGCCUCCAAACCCGAGAAAUAAAUGUCUGGUGCUUUAGGCCA